RNAcentral lists this ribosomal RNA (459 nucleotides) under uncultured bacterium. Its description in RNAcentral is "partial 16S ribosomal RNA". It matches the Rfam family "Bacterial small subunit ribosomal RNA", at positions 338 to 795 of the family's 1533-position model. The record is from RNAcentral.
CCUACGGGUGGCAGCAGUGAGGAAUAUUGGUCAAUGGGCGGGAGCCUGAACCAGCCAAGCCGCGUGAGGGAAGAAGGUACAGCGUAUCGUAAACCUCUUUUGUCGGGGAACAAAGGCGGGGACUAGUCCCCGGAUGAGGGUACCUGAAGAAAAAGCAUCGGCUAACUCCGUGCCAGCAGCCGCGGUAAUACGGAGGAUGCGAGCGUUAUCCGGAUUUAUUGGGUUAAAAGGGUGCGCAGGCGGCCUGUUAAGUCAGCGGUCAAAGCCCGGGGCUCAACCCCGGCCCGCCGUUGAAACUGGCAGUCUCGAGUUGGAGAGAAGUAUGCGGAAUGCGCGGUGUAGCGGUGAAAUGCAUAGAUAUCGCGCAGAACUCCGAUUGCGAAGGCAGCAUGCCGGCUCCACACUGACGCUGAGGCACGAAAGCGUGGGUAUCGAACAGGAUUAGAUACCCCGGUAGUC